Long non-coding RNA from Galeopterus variegatus (Sunda flying lemur), 339 nucleotides. RefSeq lists it as uncharacterized. The transcript is spliced from 2 exons. The record is from RefSeq and is a predicted model, not a curated record. NCBI's taxonomy places the organism in Eukaryota, Metazoa, Chordata, Mammalia, Dermoptera, Cynocephalidae.
GUUCUUUCUGUUUUCCUUUUAGCGAUAGAAGCCUCUGAUUUCCAGCUGGGCCCAUGACUCCUGAGCUAGAGACUACAUUUUUCAGCCUUAUUAGAGCUAGGUGUGGUUACAUGUCUAAGUUUUUACUUCUGGAAAGCUGGUCCUUGACCAUUGUGGCAGUGAAUCAGCUUCUACCAUGCAGAUGAGGGCACUACUCUCGGGGAUGUCUAAAAAACAAGAUGGAAGGACUCUAGUCCCUGGAUAACCCUAUGGAGCAGGCUACCUUCCUAUUCUGCUCCAAUUUCAACUGCUUACCUCUGAAUGUUACAUAACAGAACAAUAAACUUCUGCCUUAUUUGA